AGUGAACGCUGGCGGUAGGCCUAACACAUGCAAGUCGAACGGCAGCACAGUAAGAGCUUGCUCUUACGGGUGGCGAGUGGCGGACGGGUGAGGAAUACAUCGGAAUCUACUUUUUCGUGGGGGAUAACGUAGGGAAACUUACGCUAAUACCGCAUACGACCUACGGGUGAAAGCAGGGGAUCUUCGGACCUUGCGCGAUUGAAUGAGCCGAUGUGGGAUUAGCUAGUUGGCGGGGUAAAGGCCCACCAAGGCGACGAUCCGUAGCUGGUCUGAGAGGAUGAUCAGCCACACUGGAACUGAGACACGGUCCAGACUCCUAAGGGAGGCAGCAGUGGGGAAUAUUGGACAAUGGGCGCAAGCCUGAUCCAGCCAUACCGCGUGGGUGAAGAAGGCCUUCGGGUUGUAAAGCCCUUUUGUUGGGAAAGAAAAGCAGCAGGUUAAUACCCCGCUGUUCUGACGGUACCCAAAGAAUAAGCACCGGCUAACUUCGUG
RNAcentral lists this ribosomal RNA (492 nucleotides) under uncultured bacterium. RNAcentral describes it as "partial 16S ribosomal RNA". It matches the Rfam family "Bacterial small subunit ribosomal RNA", at positions 29 to 507 of the family's 1533-position model. The record is from RNAcentral.